AUGAUUGAACUUGUUCUCAACAACGAUGUGCUGGAGAAGUGUAUUAAAGACAUCCUCUCUCAAAUAAAACCGGCAGAGGAUGAUCUGAACAAAAGACUAUCUGCAAUUAAGGAGCUAGAAGUUUCCAUGCAACCAGUUGCAGCCUUGAGAGGUGCUGCUGCAAAACCUUUUGGAUCCUUUCUAUCAAAUCUAUACUCAAAAUCAGGAGAUUUGGAUAUAUCAGUCCAGCUCAUGAAUAGCUCAAACCUUCCUAUAAACAAGAAAAAGAAGAUAAGUAUCUUGAAAGCAGUAAGGACAGCUUUGCAAAAGGGAGGUGUUUAUGGAUAUAUGGAGUUCAUUCCUCAAGCAAGAGUCCCAGUUCUUCAGUACGUGAGCAACCGCUUUGGCAUUUCCUGCGAUUUAUCCGUUGAUAACUACCCUGGUCGAAUUAAAUCCAAAAUCUUCUACUGGAUCAGUACUUUGGAUGAGCGCUUUGGUGAUAUGGUUUUAUUGAUCAAGGAGUGGGCAAAAGCUCAAAACAUUAAUGAUCCAAAAAGUGGGACCCUGAACUCCUAUUCGCUUUGCCUACUUGUUCUCUUUCAUUUUCAGACAUGUGAGCCGGCAAUUCUACCACCUUUGGAGGACAUUUAUGAAGGGAAUAUCACAGAAGAUUUUGCAGACAUGACGCUUUAUAAUGAGGAACAUCUUGAUGAGGUUUGUGCUGCAAAUAUAGCAAAAUUUCAAAGCCAGAACAAGGAACAAAGAAAUGAAAGCUCUCUAUGUGAUCUCCUUGCAACCUUUUUUCACAAGUUUUGCCACAUUGACUCCCUUUCGAGUGAUGUGAUAUCUACCUACACGGGUCAGUUUAAGAAGAUUCAGGACAUUCCAAUUCGGCGGAAGAAACCCUAUAGCUUGUUUGUCGAAGAUCCAGUUGAGAGACCUGAUAAUGCUGCUAGAGCGGUUGGUGAGAGAGGGCUCCUCCUAAUUGCUAGUGCCUUCAGUGAUGCUAGGAGCAAGGUAGCUUCUCUCGAGCAUACUGACCGAAACGACUUACUGGCAAUGUUGUCCACACCUGGUGUUUGCUCAAAACUUGGCGGAAGAGUCAUCACUAACAAUUAUACAAAUACCCCGCUAAGGACUCGACAGCAUGUAAACAACGUGGGAGCUAAGGUAUCUAAUAAUCAACGUCGCCCCAGAGUGAAAGCAUUUACAGGUAGCAGACCAGUCCAGAAUCCUACUCAGGCGAACACUGUCCAGAAUCCUACUCAGAUGAACACUGAUACUGCAGGGCGGCAAACGCCAGGACACCACCGAAAUCAUGACCUUCCUCAGGUUUAUGCUAACGCCGCAGUUCAUCAGCCAUCAAGACAGCCAGGGCUAUACACAAACCAUUAUACCCCAUCGGCAUAUACUCCGGGCCGCCAAACAUCAGGAUCAUACCCGAGUCAGAGUCAUCCACAGGUGCACACUACAUGGGGCCCGUCAGGGGUACCAUACGAGAAUCAUGAUCAUCAACCGGCGUAUUCCCCAAUGUACCAAGCAGCAAGGCCGUACUACUAUCCGAGUCAACAGCAGCCUCAUACAAGCGGGUUCCAAACACCAGGAUCAUACCAGUACGAGUAUCAGAGUCAGUCGCCUGUUCAUACAGGCGGGAUCCAAAGGCCAGGACCAUACAACUAUCAUAGUCAACCGCAGGGUCAUACAACUGGGGUCCACAUGCCAAGACAAUACCAGAAUGGAUAUUACAAUCAGCCGGCGUAUACUGCAGGCCAAGGAUCACACCAGAACUGGCGGGGGCCGCAAUACACACCCGACCAUCAGACUAAUAGGUACAAUAGGAAUGGGAUGACUACAAGGUACGAGCCUGUUGCUGGAGGGCUCCAGAAUGGACCGGCACGGGCACGGGACUCGCGGUCGCAAGCCUCCUCAAGCCGUACGGAAUGGCGAGGAAGCAGCCAACAUCAGACCUGA
Molecule: ribosomal RNA, 1950 nt
Filed under: Triticum aestivum (bread wheat)
Lineage: Eukaryota; Viridiplantae; Streptophyta; Magnoliopsida; Poales; Poaceae
Description: partial small subunit ribosomal RNA
Source: RNAcentral